GGGCGACUCCAGGCUGCCGCUACGCGAGCAGCGUAGGCGUGGGGGACCGUGGGCGCGCGCGGAGGAAGCGACGGAGAUAAGAUGCGGGAGGGCGCGGGGCGGGGAUUCCCGCGGGACUGCUGCACGGGGCAGCGGGGCAGAAGCGGAGACUUGGCCAAGGUCUCUGCGAGUCCGCGGCAGAGGAUGAUCCAAGGUCAUGUCCUCUGGCCUUUCGCCUUGCCUGUGUGGGGAGAAGGUCAGGCUGUGUCCUUCGACGCUAGAACCGCAUCAGUGAACUUCCGCACAGAGAAAUCUGUGUCUGUGUCUCAGGCGGCUCCUGAGACACGGUGAGGAGAAUGGAACGUGUUGUGAUUUGCUGCCUCUUGCCGGAGCCUCCCUGGGAAGGUUGCAGUCAGACUCUGCGCUGGACUGUGUGCCUCUUUCUUAAGGUUGAGAGCACAACGACGAAUGGCGUUCCUCCCUCAGUCCCUCGGAGUCCAGGAUGAAGGGAGGAGCUACGGACUGCAGGUGGCUUCCAGAAGGUGGAAGAGAUGAGAAACAGAUUCUCCUCCAAGCUGCCAGGACGAAUGCAGUCCUGCUGACCCAUGUUGGAACUGGGCCAUCAGAAGUGUAAGGUAAUAGAUGUGUGUGGCUUUAGGCCUCUACAUGUGUGGUAAUUGUCACAACAGCAAUUGGAAAUCAGCAAAUGCAAUCAGCAAAAGUGAAAACACUGGUCUCCAAAAAGGCUUUUACAAAAUGGUCUUUCAAAUAAAUAAAUCU
Molecule: long non-coding RNA, 759 nt
Organism: Oryctolagus cuniculus (rabbit)
Lineage: Eukaryota; Metazoa; Chordata; Mammalia; Lagomorpha; Leporidae
Source: RefSeq, a predicted model, not a curated record